This 504-nucleotide ribosomal RNA is filed under the name uncultured bacterium. RNAcentral describes it as "bacterial SSU rRNA". It matches the Rfam family "Bacterial small subunit ribosomal RNA", at positions 15 to 518 of the family's 1533-position model. The record is from RNAcentral.
GAUCCUGGCUCAGGAUGAACGCUGGCGGCGUGCCUAACACAUGCAAGUCGAACGGGACUUAUUACGACGGAGAUUUCGGUCAAAGAAGUUUAAGUUAGUGGCGGACGGGUGAGUAACGCGUGGGGAACCUGCCCUGUACUGGGGGAUAACAGUGAGAAAUCACUGCUAAUACCGCAUAAGCGCACAAGCACCGCAUGGUGCAGUGUGAAAAACUCCGGUGGUACAGGAUGGACCCGCGUUGGAUUAGCCGGUUGGCGGGGUAACGGCCCACCAAAGCAACGAUCCAUAGCCGGCCUGAGAGGGUGAACGGCCACAUUGGGACUGAGACACGGCCCAGACUCCUACGGGAGGCAGCAGUGGGGAAUAUUGCACAAUGGGGGGAACCCUGAUGCAGCCGACGCCGCGUGAAGGAAGAAGUAUCUCGGUAUGUAAACUUCUAUCAGCAGGGAAGAUGAUGACGGUACCUGACUAAGAAGCCCCGGCUAACUACGUGCCAGCAGCCGC